Molecule: ribosomal RNA, 467 nt
Filed under: uncultured bacterium
Lineage: Bacteria
Description: partial 16S ribosomal RNA
Rfam family: Bacterial small subunit ribosomal RNA
Source: RNAcentral
ACGAACGCUGGCGGCGUGCUUAACACCUGCAAGUCGAACGGAAAGGCCCUGCUUUUGUGGGGUGCUCGAGUGGCGAACGGGUGAGUAACACGUGAGUAGCCUGCCCUUGACUUUGGGAUAACUUCAGGAAACUGGGGCUAAUACCGGAUAGGAGCUCCUGCUGCAUGGUGGGGGUUGGAAAGUUUCGGCGGUUGGGGAUGGACUCGCGGCUUAUCAGCUUGUUGGUGGGGUAGUGGCUUACCAAGGCUUUGACGGGUAGCCGGCCUGAGAGGGUGACCGGCCACAUUGGGACUGAGAUACGGCCCAGACUCCUACGGGAGGCAGCAGUGGGGAAUAUUGCACAAUGGGCGGAAGCCUGAUGCAGCAACGCCGCGUGCGGGAUGACGGCCUUCGGGUUGUAAACCGCUUUCGCCUGUGACGAAGCGUGAGUGACGGUAAUGGGUAAAGAAGCACCGGCUAACUACGUG